This is a small nuclear RNA of Cercocebus atys (sooty mangabey), 53 nucleotides long. Its record names the gene U7. It matches the Rfam family "U7 small nuclear RNA". Rfam says of the family: Animal histone pre-mRNAs are spliced by a different mechanism than nuclear pre-mRNAs and self-splicing introns. This processing involves the U7 snRNP, which contains only one RNA species: U7. The record is from Ensembl. NCBI's taxonomy places the organism in Eukaryota, Metazoa, Chordata, Mammalia, Primates, Cercopithecidae.
UUUUGUUACAGCUCUUUUAGAAUUUGUUUAGCAGGUUUUCCAGGAAAACCUCU